GACGAACGCUGGCGGCGUGCCUAACACAUGCAAGUCGAGCGAAUGAAGUUCCUUCGGGAACGGAUUUAGCGGCGGACGGGUGAGUAACACGUGGGCAACCUGCCUCAUAGAGGGGAAUAGCCUUCCGAAAGGGAGAUUAAUACCGCAUAAGAUUGUAGUACCGCAUGGUACAGCAAUUAAAGGAGCAAUCCGCUAUGAGAUGGGCCCGCGGCGCAUUAGCUAGUUGGUGAGGUAACGGCUCACCAAGGCGACGAUGCGUAGCCGACCUGAGAGGGUGAUCGGCCACAUUGGGACUGAGACACGGCCCAGACUCCUACGGGAGGCAGCAGUGGGGAAUAUUGCACAAUGGGGGAAACCCUGAUGCAGCAACGCCGCGUGAGUGAUGACGGCCUUCGGUUGUAAAGCUCUGUCUUCUAGGACGGAUAAUGACGGUACCUGAGGAGGAAGCCGACGGCUAACUACGUGCCAGCAGCCGCGGUAAAGUACACGUACGCG
Molecule: ribosomal RNA, 495 nt
Filed under: uncultured bacterium
Lineage: Bacteria
Description: bacterial SSU rRNA
Rfam family: Bacterial small subunit ribosomal RNA
Source: RNAcentral